AGUUGUUCUUACGAAAACAAAAAAGAAAAAUCAACCUCCAUCGUAUAGACGACCGACAGGAAUUCAUAUAUCUGAGGGUCGGUUUGCUGACGCGACAGCACGACCCUUAUAUUCUAGGUCGUCUCAGCAGUCGGUUCCUACUUCUAUGCAUGUGGGGCCACUUCAUGGGUCUACACCGACUUAUUAUUCUCCUAUCACUGUGCUUCCGCCAUCGCAGUACUAUUGGACGAUCGCUGGCCCAUCCGGAACUACCAUCAUUAGUACCCUCCUGUAACAGUCACGCAGCUUCGCACAAUGGUUUUGCAAGAUCUAUUGGGUUGUUGGAUCUUCAGCUUGGAGGCACUCCAUCUGAUGCUUUAGAUCCGCCCACGCUAGUGCAUCCACCAUCACUUACUCCGCAACCAGGCGACAGAGAUGAUUUGAGAGGCGCUAUCUUACUCCAUAUGCGACAAGUAGGUUUAGGUCGGAUGCUAGAGUUGGACAAACUGUGAGAAAAUGCAUUUCAGCUACUGGACCAGUUGGCAAAAGGUUCCAGAAAUUGACAGGGAAAGAAUGGUUUAAGAAUUUAAUAAAUUUUACUGGUGGGAUGAUGCGAAUGUAUGUUUUAUAAAAAGGAACUUUUUCAGAAGAUGUAGAUCCAGAUUUAACGGUCUGUUGAAUUAUGUUCGAACCAACAUGGUACGACCUGACUGAAUUAGUGAACCCUUAUGGCAAUAGUAUAUUCGCUAUUGGAAUAGCGAAGAAUACCAAUUACUGAGGGACAAAGGAAAGAAAGCUCGGGUAUUAUCUAGGGGUGGCUCCCUACAUACUGCGGGUGCCAAAAGUAUAAAAACUGUAGAGGAAAAAAUGGAAAAAAAAAGGGUAGGAGAAUACCACAAGGUGAGCUGUACCAGGAGACUUAUUUGAAAAAGAAAAAGAAUCCGACUGAUGAAGAUGCCUGGGUUGAACCUCGUGCAAAAGCUGCCCAUAGAGAGAGGACGCAAAAGGAGGAGGAAACAUCAUCAUAAAUCAGGAUGUUGCAGGAGCAGUUCAACUCUUUAAUUCAGACUGCAGGGAUUAUUCCUCCGUGUCCUGGUGAUGCAAUUUGGACUGCAAAAGGUCUACGCCCCCUAGAUGAUAUCAGCACAGAUGAGGAUGCGGAAAACGAGGACGAAUUCGAUGAAGAUGAGUUUUAAUUUUUUGACUUUUGUAUAUAUUGUACUUUGAAUUUAGAUAUUUUGUUGUAGUUUGUACACUUUUGAAACUAUUGUUGUAGUUUUUACACUUUUAUUUUUGUUGGACAUUUUGUAUGUGUUGUACACUUUUGAAAGUAUUUACAUCUGGUUUGUUGUUGUA
Long non-coding RNA from Capsicum annuum, 1335 nucleotides. RefSeq lists it as uncharacterized. Lineage: Eukaryota; Viridiplantae; Streptophyta; Magnoliopsida; Solanales; Solanaceae. The record is from RefSeq and is a predicted model, not a curated record. The transcript has 5 exons.